UAAACUCAGGAUUAAAAGAGGGGGAGUACUUGUGGCACCUUGGAGACUGGCAGGUUUGUUGGAGCGUGGGCUUUCGUGGGCUGCAGCUCGCUUCGUCGGGUGCGUUUGGUGGAGGAGGCGGAGGAGAGAUUUAUGUACGCACGCACGCAGAGAGCAUGAAACAAUGGGUUUAUCACACACACUGCAGGAUGGGCCCAUUGUUUCGUGUUCUCUGUGUGUGUGUGUGUGUGUGUGUGUAGGUCUCUCCUCUGUUUUUUCUGCCGGGUGCGUCCGGUGGGGUGGGCUGUGGCUCGCGGGGGCUUGUGCUCUGGUAGAUUUGUUGGUCUCUGGGGUGCCACAGGUACUCCUUUUCUUUUUGCGAACACAGACUAACACGGCUGCUACUCUGAAACAGGCCAGGAUUUGUGAAUUCAAUCCU
Molecule: long non-coding RNA, 418 nt
Organism: Dermochelys coriacea (leatherback sea turtle)
Lineage: Eukaryota; Metazoa; Chordata; Testudines; Dermochelyidae
Exons: 4
Source: RefSeq, a predicted model, not a curated record